UUUAGUUUUUCAUCGUUUCAGAGUCUGGAAGUCCAAGAUCAAGGGACCAGAGGGGUCAGUGAGGCCUUCUCUCACCUGAACUGGGAUCAGAUUAGCAGCAACAACAAUGAAUGAGUGAUGGAGACGGCAUCCGGCACCCACAGUACACACAGAAUGGUUAUGUUUAUCUUCCAUCUCCUGUGCCAGCUUACUGACAUGGGGCACUGCAGUUCCCAGAGCAAGCCUGGACUUGUCCCCUGAUGAGCACAUGGGACAAUCAUCCAAGUAGAAUGAAACCAGCUGGGAGAAGCCACCACACAUCCCCUUCAGAAACAGCAACUCUCCCACGCCUGACUGACUUCCUGGUGCCUGGAACUCCUCUGAGUGGAGCAACUCUAUUGACUGAGAUUAUCUCCAUAAAGUCCAGGUGAAGGUGAAAAUAACAAUCUCACCAUUUACUGAUUGUCAAUUUCCUGUCCAAUAAGAAAAGAAUAAGACUUCAGGGAGGCAGGGCAGGCAACAGGCACGUCUGAGUCCAUUUCUCAGCUGAAAUCUACAAGAAACUGAGGACCUCAAUCCCCCAACCCUGGAGCAAUGCAGUCCUGCCGGUAUGCUUGUAGGGGUGCUCAGAAGCAGACCCUUCCCCACCUGAGCCUUCAGAUGAGUCCUCAUCCCUGGCCAGUACCUGAGUGUGGACUUGUGAGUGAGCCAAGCCAGCCAUGCCACACAAAGAUUCCUGACCCACAAAAACUGUGAGAUGAUAAAUGUGCAUUGAUUCAAGCUGCUAAGUUUGGGGGCAACUUGUUACACAGCAGGAGAUAACUACUACACCACCACCAUGAUCUGUUUUUUGGCCUUUGAACGUAUCUCAUUUAUUCUUUUUUUAAAUUCUGUUUUCCUCUCCAAGAUUGCCACCCAGUGUCUGUCCAAUUCCUCACCCACAAGUCAGUUUCCACUUUCCCUCUGAGCCCUUCUGAUUUUUUCCACUCAUGAUGGUUUUUCUCUUCCACAAGACACAGAAUUUAUUGUCUCAGCUGUGCCAUUCCAAGAUCAGGGUUUCUUUAAGCAUUCCCCCGGCCUUGGAAUAGCACAGCUCAAAACAAGGUACAAAUGGGAUUUACUUUUUUUUUUCUGUGCUCUUUAUGACUGUAUUACAUCCCCUUUCACUCUUUUUUUCUUUCAUUUUUGAAAAUAUAAUAAUGUUAUCAACUAAAGUCACCAUGUUGUAAAAUAAUAUCUUGAAUUUAUUUCUCUUAUCCAACUGAAAUUUUGUAUCCUUUGAUCAACGUUUCCCCAACCUCCAACUCCCCCAUUGCCCAGCCCUUAGUAACCACUAUUCUUCUCUCUGCUUCAGUGAGUUCAGCUUUUGAAAAUUUUCCACAGAUGAGUGAGGUCAUGUGGUAUUUGUCUUUCUGUGCCUGGCUUAUUUCAGUUAAUAUAAUGUCUUCCAGGUUCAUCCAUGUUGUUGCAAACGACAGGAUUUUCCUCUUUUUUAAAGCUGAAUAGUAUUCUGUUGUGCAUAUGUACCCCAUUGUCUUUAUUUGUUGAUGCCUUGUUGGACACUUAGGUUGAGUCCAUAUCUUGGCUAUUGUGGAGAAUGCUGUAGUAAACAUGAGACUGCAGAGAUGUCUUUUAAUAUACUGAUUUCAAAGCCUUUAGAUAUAAACCAAGAAGUGGAAUGAAUUGAUCCAGGUGGGACUGAAUACCAGACAGACAAGUCAUCAACACUAGUAGGAUUUGCAUUUCUUUAGAAGCAAAGCUGGAGAAGAUUGGAGGUUAGGCACUGGAUCAGCACUGGUUGUCCAAAUAAAGUAAGCAUGAGAGUCGGGUGAAAGGAAGGAGUAGCCACUGGGAAGGGUCCAUGAGAGGGAAGCAAGUGUGAGUGAGUGCUAUAGACUGCUGGGGGUGGGGUGGGGGUGGUGCUGACACCUGUGAUAUGUGUGUGUGUGUGUGUGUGUGUGUGUAUGUGUAACUUUCCCUCUAAAUCUCUAAGUUACCCAACGGCUCCCCAAGAACCUGGUAACCUAGUGGAAUGCAAUGCUUUGAAAUCCACUCAGUAAAUAUUCAUUGAACCAGUGUAUGAAACUAGAAUCCCUGUUCAUCCCUUUCUUUCUUUCUUUGCAAUCUUUAAAAGCAAAAAGACAUAUAUUAUUAACAGUUCAUUUAUAGAGUCAAUUCUAUUUCUAAAGAGAUAGAGCAUAUUUUAAAUGUGUUACUUUUUUAAUGUUUAUUUCUAUGGCUAUUUAGGCUUAGUUUAUAUUCAAUUUAACAGGGAAAAACAUAACGAAUUCAAUAGCAAUGCAAAGGUAAUAUAAAUAGUCUAAUAACAAGAUAUGAUUUUCAUUUGGCCCAUAUUAAAACUGGAUUUAGAGGAACCAUGCAAAUUCACACUUAAUAACAAAUAUAUUUAUAUGCGUCUAUUAAUUUCCCAUUCGGAAACACAAAAGCUUUCUAGAUAAGGUAUUUUACUGUCUGAUAUAAGGCAUAGUUCUAAUUAUAUAAAGGUUUAGGAAAAUCAGGCCUAGUCAAGUUAUAUCUACAUAUUCAUAUGACUUAACUAAAUUAAUUGAGUAUAAUAGACUAGAAUUGUGUAAAAAUUAAUAUUUGGAGUUUUUAUGUUGUUGCUGUAAUUUUAAAAAUGCCAGGCAACUGGUUUGACUAAAAGUUCUCACUGCUUUGGUUAUAGCCAAACUAUAGGGGGGAAAUGUUUAUUUUAACUGUUAGUUGUUACAGGCUAAUGGUUCAUCAUGUCCUUAAUAGAAAUCAGACCCAGAUGUUUUAGAUAAAAGCAUACCAUUUAUUCAGACUAUAUCCACAUUAGAAGAAGAGAAAUAGCAAUUUAGUAAUAGUCAGAAUUAUUUUACCAACGCAGGCAAUCAGUUUGGAGCAUCUGCUACCACCAGAAUCCUUAGGAGAUCAAAUCAUCAUUUCUGCGAUCAAUGCAACGAUGUUUGAUCAUCUUUAACGUCUACUAUACUCUCUGCUUGCAAUUCUUUUCCAAAUUAAUUAAUUUAGCCAAAAAUCUCAGGAAAACAAUUUAGCCUGAAUGUAAUACUCUGUUUCCCCAUAAUGAAAAAGAUAAAUAGUCUAAAACAGAAAAAAUAAACACACAGCAAAACACGUGCUCUUAUACGUGGAAAGUUAAGCUAAGAAUGUUUGGGGGAAAUUGGCAGACCUUAAGUCUUGAAUUUUCUGGGACCUUCCCUCUAUUCUUCUCACUUUCAGCUAGCAUCUUCCAUGCCGUGGUAUACAGCAUGAUAGGGUUUGAACUACACAUGUUGCUCCUCUUAUUAUAAAUGCCUAAUCCUUAGCUGAAACUAUUUGUCACAAUAAUAUCCUGUAGUGAAGACUUUUACAAGAUAAUUACAUGGUGAGUAAACAAGGCAGUGUUGUCUUUUAUCUGUUCUAAAUGGGAUGUCUUCUAAUUUUAUCACCUACCUUUUGUUCAUAUAUUAUUGGGCAGGGUAAAUAAGAAUCACUGAACAGCCUUUCUAAAUCAUUUGUUAUUAUCCAUGCUACUAUUUCUAUAAACUAAUGAGCAAUAUUUAGUGCUUACGAUCUUCCCACUUUAUAAACAUCAGCUUUCAUUGUUUCUGCAUUAGGUGGAGGAAAUAUUGAGCCCAGCUUUCCCUUUGAAUGCUUACAAGGUUGCUUGUAAAAUAUUCUUCUGAUGACACAGACUGGAGAGAACUGUGUCUUUAACCUAUUGCAUUUAACCCAGGGAUGCUCACUGCUAGCUGAGGGUGGCCCAAAAUGGAGGCCACAAAUGAACCUCUUCUCUACUCUUCUUUCCUUUUAUCCUCUCCUUUCCUUUCUCCUUUCCCUUCCCUUCCCUCCCCUCCU
This is a long non-coding RNA of Homo sapiens (human), 3822 nucleotides long. RefSeq lists it as uncharacterized. The record is from RefSeq and is a predicted model, not a curated record. NCBI's taxonomy places the organism in Eukaryota, Metazoa, Chordata, Mammalia, Primates, Hominidae. The transcript is spliced from 3 exons.